Molecule: ribosomal RNA, 367 nt
Filed under: uncultured organism
Description: bacterial LSU rRNA
Rfam family: Bacterial large subunit ribosomal RNA
Source: RNAcentral
CUUUACUGCAGCUUUGCAGUGGCAUUAGGAGAGGGCUGUGUAGGAUAGGUGGGAGGCUUUGAAGCCGGGGCGCUAGCUUCGGUGGAGCCAACCUUGAAAUACCACCCUGACCUCUUCUGAUGUCUAACCGCGACCGGUCAGCCCGGUCCGGGACCCUGCAUGGUGGGCAGUUUGACUGGGGCGGUCGCCUCCCAAAUAGUAACGGAGGCGCGCGAUGGUGGGCUCAGGCCGGUCGGACAUCGGCUGCUGAGUGCAAUGGCACAAGCCCGCCUGACUGCGAGAGUGACAGCUCGAGCAGAGACGAAAGUCGGCCAUAGUGAUCCGGUGGUCCCGCGUGGAAGGGCCAUCGCUCAACGGAUAAAAGGUA